RNAcentral lists this ribosomal RNA (568 nucleotides) under Bufotes oblongus. RNAcentral's name for it is "partial 16S ribosomal RNA". It matches the Rfam family "Bacterial large subunit ribosomal RNA", at positions 1819 to 2600 of the family's 2925-position model. Lineage: Eukaryota; Metazoa; Chordata; Amphibia; Anura; Bufonidae. The record is from RNAcentral.
CGCCUCUUGAAUUUUAUAAGAGGUCCAGCCUGCCCAGUGACUCUGUUCAACGGCCGCGGUAUCCUAACCGUGCGAAGGUAGCGUAAUCACUUGUUCUUUAAAUGUGGACUAGUAUGAAUGGCACCACGAAGGUUAUACUGUCUCCUCUUUCUAAUCAGUGAAACUAAUCUCCCCGUGAAGAAGCGGGGAUAAAACUAUAAGACGAGAAGACCCUAUGGAGCUUUAAACAACAUAGCACUUGCCACAUACCAUUAAAAUUUCAGAAUCUUUAAUUCUCUGAGCAACAUGACUAUAAGUUUUUGGUUGGGGUGACCGCGGAGCAUAACACAACCUCCAUGUUGAAAGAACCAUUUUCUAAGCUAAGAACUACAACUCUAAGCAUCAACAUAUUGACAUCCAUUGACCCAAUACACUUGAACAACGAACCAAGUUACCCUAGGGAUAACAGCGCAAUCCACUUCAAGAGCUCCUAUCGACAAGUGGGUUUACGACCUCGAUGUUGGAUCAGGGUUUCCCAGUGGUGCAGCCGCUACUAAAGGUUCGUUUGUUCAACGAUUAAAACCCUACG